This 493-nucleotide ribosomal RNA is filed under the name uncultured bacterium. Its description in RNAcentral is "partial 16S ribosomal RNA". It matches the Rfam family "Bacterial small subunit ribosomal RNA", at positions 27 to 507 of the family's 1533-position model. The record is from RNAcentral.
GAGUGGACGCUGGCGGUAGGCCUAACAUAUGCAAGUCGAACGGCAGCACAGUAAGAGCUUGCUCUUACGGGUGGCGAGUGGCGGACGGGUGAGGAAUACAUCGGAAUCUACUUUUUCGUGGGGGAUAACGUAGGGAAACUUACGCUAAUACCGCAUACGACCUACGGGUGAAAGCAGGGGAUCUUCGGACCUUGCGCGAUUGAAUGAGCCGAUGUCGGAUUAGCUAGUUGGCGGGGUAAAGGCCCACCAAGGCGACGAUCCGUAGCUGGUCUGAGAGGAUGAUCAGCCACACUGGAACUGAGACGCGGUCCAGACUCCUACGGGAGGCAGCAGUGGGGAAUAUUGGACAAUGGGCGCAAGCCUGAUCCAGCCAUACCGCGUGGGUGAAGAAGGCCUUCGGGUUGUAAAGCCCUUUUGUUGGGAAAGAAAAGCAGCAGGUUAAUACCCCGCUGUUCUGACGGUACCCAAAGAAUAAGCACCGGCUAACUUCGUG